This 277-nucleotide ribosomal RNA is filed under the name uncultured bacterium. RNAcentral's name for it is "partial 16S ribosomal RNA". It matches the Rfam family "Bacterial small subunit ribosomal RNA", at positions 28 to 309 of the family's 1533-position model. The record is from RNAcentral.
AACGAACGCUGGCGGCAUGCCUAACACAUGCAAGUCGAACGUGAUCCGGGGCUUCGGCUCUGGUGAAAGUGGCGCACGGGUGAGUAACGCGUGGGAACCUGCCUGGUGGCAGGGGAUAACUGCGGGAAACUGCGGCUAAUACCCUAUGAGCCCUGGGGCGAGAGCCUUGGGGGAAAGAUUGAUCGCCAUUGGAGGGGCCCGCGUCGGAUUAGGUGGUUGGUGGGGUAAAGGCCUACCAAGCCUGCGAUCCGUAGCUGGUCUGAGAGGAUGAUCAGCC